RNAcentral lists this ribosomal RNA (721 nucleotides) under uncultured bacterium. RNAcentral's name for it is "bacterial SSU rRNA". It matches the Rfam family "Bacterial small subunit ribosomal RNA", at positions 63 to 773 of the family's 1533-position model. The record is from RNAcentral.
CGAGCGGUAGCACAGGAGAGCUUGCUCUCUGGGUGACGAGCGGCGGACGGCGAGUAAUGUCUGGGAAACUGCCUGAUGGAGGGGGAUAACUACUGGAAACGGUAGCUAAUACCGCAUGACCUCGCAAGAGCAAAGUGGGGGACCUUUCGGGCCUCACGCCAUCGGAUGUGCCCAGAUGGGAUUAGCUAGUAGGUGGGGUAAUGGCUCACCUAGGCGACGAUCCCUAGCUGGUCUGAGAGGAUGACCAGCCACACUGGAACUGAGACACGGUCCAGACUCCUACGGGAGGCAGCAGUGGGGAAUAUUGCACAAUGGGCGCAAGCCUGAUGCAGCCAUGCCGCGUGUGUGAAGAAGGCCUUAGGGUUGUAAAGCACUUUCAGCGAGGAGGAAGGGUUCAGUGUUAAUAGCACUGAGCACUGACGUUACUCGCAGAAGAAGCACCGGCUAACUCCGUGCCAGCAGCCGCGGUAAUACGGAGGGUGCAAGCGUUAAUCGGAAUUACUGGGCGUAAAGCGCACGCAGGCGGUUUGUUAAGUCAGAUGUGAAAUCCCCGAGCUUAACUUGGGAACUGCAUUUGAAACUGGCAAGCUAGAGUCUUGUAGAGGGGGGUAGAAUUCCAGGUGUAGCGGUGAAAUGCGUAGAGAUCUGGAGGAAUACCGGUGGCGAAGGCGGCCCCCUGGACAAAGACUGACGCUCAGGUGCGAAAGCGUGGGGAGCAAAC